Callithrix jacchus (white-tufted-ear marmoset) is the source of this 202-nucleotide long non-coding RNA. RefSeq lists it as uncharacterized. The record is from RefSeq and is a predicted model, not a curated record. NCBI's taxonomy places the organism in Eukaryota, Metazoa, Chordata, Mammalia, Primates, Cebidae.
CUGCAUUUGCUGAUGAGCUGUGUGAAGGCCCGAAGAUGGCAGCCACCCCAAGAGACAGCUGAUCACAGGCUGAAGAGGAGAUAAAGGCAACUAAGAGAAUCAUGUGGAUCACAUUGUGUUCCUUCCAGAAAUCCAAAAGAACCCAAAGCAGAUGUGGGAAAAAAAUGUAAAAAACUGUCCAAGGAAAACGUAAAUGUGUAAG